UACGGAGGGGCUAGCGUUGUUCGGAAUUACUGGGCGUAAAGCGCACGUAGGCGGCUUUGUAAGUUAGAGGUGAAAGCCCGGGCUCAACUCCGGAAUUGCCUUUAAGACUGCAUCGCUAGAAUUGUGGAGAGGUAAGUGGAAUUCCGAGUGUAGAGGUGAAAUUCGUAGAUAUUCGGAAGAACACCAGUGGCGAAGGCGACUUACUGGACACAUAUUGACGCUGAGGUGCGAAAGCGGUGGGAGCAAACAGG
RNAcentral lists this ribosomal RNA (251 nucleotides) under uncultured bacterium. Its description in RNAcentral is "partial 16S ribosomal RNA". It matches the Rfam family "Bacterial small subunit ribosomal RNA", at positions 524 to 776 of the family's 1533-position model. The record is from RNAcentral.